Long non-coding RNA from Pantherophis guttatus, 280 nucleotides. RefSeq lists it as uncharacterized. The record is from RefSeq and is a predicted model, not a curated record. NCBI's taxonomy places the organism in Eukaryota, Metazoa, Chordata, Lepidosauria, Squamata, Colubridae.
AUGAAUUACACAACUGAGAAAUUACUACUAAUAAUAUUAAUCACCAACCUCAGAAAGUCCAAAAAGGCAAGGUGAUAACUGGCAAACCAAAUGAGAUCAAAGAGAAAAGUCGGGGGUCGUCUUAUAUGCCCAGUCAUCUUAUACGCCGGAAAAUACGGGUUCUUACAUUUGCAAAACAGGGCCAUAAUGUGCCACUAUAACUCCUGCUGAUUGUACUGAACAAAAAUUGUGCCAAGUCCAGCUCAUGUCAAGAAUGAGGCAAAGGCAUUUCAGUUCUGCA